GACAGAGGGUGCGAACGUUGUUCGGAAUUACUGGGCGUAAAGCGCAUGUAGGCGGCAGCGCAAGUCGGGCGUGAAAUCCCACGGCUCAACCGUGGAAGUGCACUCGAAACUGCGCAGCUAGAGUCCUGGAGAGGAAGGUGGAAUGCUUGGUGUAGAGGUGAAAUUCGUAGAUAUCAAGCGGAACACCGGUGGCGAAGGCGGCCUUCUGGACAGUGACUGACGCUGAGAUGCGAAAGCGUGGGUAGCAAACAGG
RNAcentral lists this ribosomal RNA (253 nucleotides) under uncultured bacterium. Its description in RNAcentral is "partial 16S ribosomal RNA". It matches the Rfam family "Bacterial small subunit ribosomal RNA", at positions 524 to 776 of the family's 1533-position model. The record is from RNAcentral.